UACAGAGGUCUCAAGCGUUGUUCGGAUUCAUUGGGCGUAAAGGGUGCGUAGGCUGCGGGGCAAGUCGGGUGUGAAAUCUCAGAGCUCAACUCUGAAACUGCACUCGAUACUGCUUUGCUCGAGGACUGGAGAGGAGAUUGGAAUUCACGGUGUAGCAGUGAAAUGCGUAGAUAUCGUGAGGAAGACCAGUGGCGAAGGCGGAUCUCUGGACAGUUCCUGACGCUGAGGCGCGAAGGCCAGGGGAGCAAACGGG
This 253-nucleotide ribosomal RNA is filed under the name uncultured bacterium. Its description in RNAcentral is "partial 16S ribosomal RNA". It matches the Rfam family "Bacterial small subunit ribosomal RNA", at positions 524 to 776 of the family's 1533-position model. The record is from RNAcentral.